Molecule: ribosomal RNA, 329 nt
Filed under: uncultured bacterium
Lineage: Bacteria
Description: bacterial SSU rRNA
Rfam family: Bacterial small subunit ribosomal RNA
Source: RNAcentral
UGUGUAGGCGGUUUGGUAAGUCUGGUGUGAAAUCUCCCGGCUCAACUGGGAGGGUGCGCCGGAAACUGCCGGACUCGAGUGCGGGAGAGGAGAGUGGAAUUCCUGGUGUAGCGGUGAAAUGCGUAGAUAUCAGGAGGAACACCGGUGGUGUAGACGGCUCUCUGGACCGUAACUGACGCUGAAACACGAAAGCGUGGGUAGCAAACAGGAUUAGAUACCCUGGUAGUCCACGCCCUAAACGAUGCAUAUUUGGUGUGGGUCAUUCAGUUGAUCCGUGCCGGAGCUAACGCGUUAAAUAUGCCGCCUGGGGAGUACAGUCGCAGGCUGAA